AUGACUCACCAUGAUAUACAACAAGAGGUGAUAAAAUGUUGUGCACAAGAGACUACAAAACUAGUCAUUGAAGAACUUGAUGGUGGUCAUUUUGCAAUACCUGCAGAUGAGUCUAGUGAUGUGUAUCAGAAUGAACAGUUGGCUGUUUGCUUGCGUUAUGUUGAUAAGAAAGGAAGGGCGGUUGUAAGAUUUCUUGGUCUUGCUCAUGUUGAAGAUACUACCUCUUUGACACUAAAAGCUGCAAUUCAGAAAAUGCUUAUGGAAUACAAUUUGACCUUUGCAAUGGUUCGUGGGCGAGGAUAUGAUGGAGCUAGUAAUAUGAGAGGUAAUGUUAAUGGCUUGAAGAAACUGAUUAUGGAUGAGUCCCCUUCUGCCUACUAUGUUCAUUGUUUUGCCCAUCAACUACAGUUAACUCUUGUUGCCGUUGCUAAGGAGAGUGGUGAUUGUACUUGGUUCUUUCAACAACUUGCACACUUGUUAAAUGCUCUUGGCAUGUCUUGUAAAAAUAUGAGAAUGCUUCGGAUAGCUCAGGCUGAAGAACUCAUUGAUGCAUUGGAAUUGGAAGAAGUAGAAACAGGGAGUGGGCUGAAUCAGGAAAUGGGUUUGGGAAGGCCAUGUGAUACACGUUGGGGCUCUCACUUCAAAACUGUGAACCAUGUCAUCUCUAUGUAUGGUGCACUACGACGAGUCCUUCGCAAGAUUGGAGACGAGUACCAUGGUGCGGAGGCACAAGCGGCUCUAUCCAUAGAGACAAUAUUUCGAUCAUUUGAGUUUGUUUUCAUGGCACACUUGAUGCAAGAAAUAUUUGGAUACACAGAUGAGUUGUGUAGAGCUUUGCAAAAGCAACACGAAGAUAUUGUUCAUGCUAUUGAGCUUGUUGCUGACACAAAGUAUUACUUGGAGGCUUUGAGGACCGAUGCUGGAUGGUAUGAUUUUCUCACAAAGGUCACAUCUUUUUGUACGAAGCAUAAGAUCAAAGUUGUUGAUACGGAGGGUCCUUACUUUCCCGUUGGCCGGCCUAGAAGGGGUUUAUGUAAUGGUCCGACCAAUUACCACCGCUUCAAGGUUGAUAUGUUUGUGGGUGUCAUUGAUAGGCAAAUCAGUGAGCUGAAUGGCAGAUUUGAUGAGGUAAACACGGAGCUACUUUCUUGCAUGGCAGCAUUUUGUCCACUUCAUCUAUUUGCUGCUUAUGACCAAGAGAAAUUAGUUAGGCUUGCUACAAAGUUUUAUGCUUCUGAUUUUACAAGGGAUGAACUGGAAAGACUUCCAUGGCAACUAAACAUGUAUGUUACUAAUGUGCGUAGAGAUGAAAGGUUUCAAAACCUGAAAAAUCUGUGUCAGCUUUCAGUUAUGCUUGUUGAGACAAGCAAGCAUGAACAAUAUCAUAUUGUUUACAAGCUUCUUAAGUUGGUAUUGAUUCUGCCAGUAGCUACUGCUAGUGUUGAAAGGGUAUUCUCUUCAAUGAGCUAUGUGAAGAAUAAGCUAAGGAACAAAAUGAGUGAUGAUUAUUUGAACAAUUGUUUGGUUACAUUCGUUGAGAGAGAAUUUUUCAAUCAAGUGAAGGAUGAAGAUGUCGUCAAUCUGUUCCAAAAAGGAGACCGCAAAGUUAUAUUGUAA
This 1617-nucleotide ribosomal RNA is filed under the name Triticum aestivum (bread wheat). Its description in RNAcentral is "partial small subunit ribosomal RNA". The record is from RNAcentral. Lineage: Eukaryota; Viridiplantae; Streptophyta; Magnoliopsida; Poales; Poaceae.